Molecule: ribosomal RNA, 231 nt
Filed under: uncultured bacterium
Lineage: Bacteria
Description: partial 16S ribosomal RNA
Rfam family: Bacterial small subunit ribosomal RNA
Source: RNAcentral
CGGAAUUAUUGGGCGUAAAGCGCGUGUAGGCGGCUUUGCAAGUCGGGUGUGAAAGCCCUCAGCUCAACUGAGGAAGUGCGCCCGAAACUGCAGAGCUUGAGUACCGGAGAGGAUGGCGGAAUUCCCCAAGUAGAGGUGAAAUUCGUAGAUAUGGGGAGGAACACCGGUGGCGAAGGCGGCCAUCUGGACGGAUACUGACGCUGAGACGCGAAAGCGUGGGGAGCAAACAGG